Molecule: non-coding RNA, 1583 nt
Organism: Pelobates cultripes (western spadefoot toad)
Lineage: Eukaryota; Metazoa; Chordata; Amphibia; Anura; Pelobatidae
Source: the annotation of a GenBank genome assembly
AUGAAAUCAAAGGUGCAGAAUUGUGCCAGUUCCAAUUAAAGGGCCAGAACAGUCUUUUAAAAACCAAUAAGUCCAAAUUGUGUUUUUAACUGGCAAAGUCUCCCAGGGACCAUAGUCACAUGGCAAGAGGCUGGCAAUUAGUCCUCUCCAGGCACAAGUGGCGAAGGGCGCUUCAUCACAGAAGGGCUCCUCCAUACUUCUCAGCAAAAACACAUCAUUUCAGGCACACUCCCAAGACAUUGACAGACAUAUGUCAAGGGAUCACUAUUUUAUGUGGGGACUUUAACCAUAUCUUUGACCCGGCAUUAGACUCCACCCUUUCCCCACGUAAAGCUAAAUUCGGACCCCUCAAGAGACAGUGCAGGGCGCUACAAAAACUCAUUUUUUUACACCAUUACUAUGACGCCUGGAGAGCCUCCCACUGAAUGGAAAAAUUCUACACCUACUUCUCCCAUGUACACAACUCAUAUUCCUGGCUAGAUACGUUCUUCGUUUCCGGUACACACCUUAACCAAAUAGAACGCUGUGAUAUUACCCAACUCACGUGGUCUGACCAUGCUCCGGUCAUAUUACAGGUCAAGGACUCAUAUGAUUUCAAACAUCGGAGUCCGUGGAGACUGAAUGACUCUGUUACAUAAUAAGGAGUUUGUAAACAAAAUAGAUGAAGCCCUUCGAAACUAUUUCAUAGAAAAUGAGACCCCUGAGGUAACACACACCACCUUAUGGCAGGCACACUGUCAGAAUAUUUAUAUCAACAGACAUUUUGUGCUAAAAAGAAAUUAAAAGUGUAUAUUGCCACAGCCACUCAGAACGAAGCGGACUCCAUUUUGCUAUCUUCAGGAUAACAAAAACACAUAAUUUCCUUGAUUUCUUAUUUUCUGUAACUAGCCACUUGCUUGAGCUGAGGAAUGUAUUACAUAAACAAACCAAGAUAAGCAAUGAAGCAAGGGGGAUGGAACGCUCUGUCUAAAAUGUUAAUGGAAUAGAUGCAUUAUCUAAACACAGACACUAGUGACAGAGAAGACUAAGUAAUUAAUUUUACUUUCUAAGUUUUAUAAGGUACCAUUGUAGUAAGGGGUGAAAUUGAGUUUAGAACUGUCAAUUUUACAAGUUACGAUCAAGUAGAUGCCACAAAGACUGAGACAAACGCUUUGAACUGACAGCAAAUCUAAGUUAUGGUAGUCAUUUUAGAUAAGCCAAAUGACGUCAAAAUCGUCAUAUGGAAAAGUUAACUCUUUCCUGGAUAGGAAGGUUUCAUUAGACGAGACUGCCAUCUAUGGAUAAAAUACAUAAAUUGCGACCCAUAGAUUGGACACACCUACGGCUUCCUAUUGGGUUAUCAACUAAUGACGUACAAAGAGUCUGGCCCUUUAAAAGUUAGGACAAAGGAAAGACAGGGGAGUUGGAGUUGAGAGACAGAGGGAGCGGGAGUUGAAAUUUGGGGGACUCCAACUCGGACAUGCAGAGAAAUCCAGGACAAUCUCUGGGACUAACACUCUACUCUUAAAACUCUAACACUUAGAAUUUUACUGACUUUCUAACCAACACCACCUUUCACUAUAACUCAUGCACCUACAUACAAC